This 300-nucleotide ribosomal RNA is filed under the name uncultured Roseomonas sp. RNAcentral's name for it is "partial 16S ribosomal RNA". The stretch from base 53 to 300 matches the Rfam family "Bacterial small subunit ribosomal RNA", at positions 548 to 795 of the family's 1533-position model. Lineage: Bacteria; Pseudomonadati; Pseudomonadota; Alphaproteobacteria; Acetobacterales; Roseomonadaceae. The record is from RNAcentral.
GGCGUGGGUGUGUGAGGUGGCGCGGUGGUGGGUAGGGUGCGAGGGUUGUCGUGAAGUAUUGGGCGUGAAGGGCUGGUAGGCGGGUUGUCGCGGCGGGAGGGAAAGCCCGUGUCUUAACUGUGGGUCGGCUUUCGAUACGGGCAGGCGUGAGGCAUUCAGGGGAGAACGGAAUUUCUGGUGUAGCGGUGAAAUGCGCAGAUAUCAGGAGGAACACCGGUGGCGAAGGCGGUUCUCUGGGAGUGUUCUGACGCUGAGGAGCGAAAGUGUGGGGAGCGAACAGGAUUAGAUACCCCAGUAGUC